AGAGUUUGAUCCUGGCUCAGAACGAACGCUGGCGGCACGCUUAACACAUGCAAGUCGAACGGAAUAUUAUGCUUCGGUAUAGUAUUUAGUGGCGGACGGGUGAGUAACACGUGGGAACCUGCCCUGUAGAGGGGGAUAACUGCUGGAAACGGCAGCUAAUACCGCAUACGCCCUGAGGGGGAAAGAUUUAUCACUAUAGG
RNAcentral lists this ribosomal RNA (200 nucleotides) under uncultured bacterium. RNAcentral's name for it is "partial 16S ribosomal RNA". It matches the Rfam family "Bacterial small subunit ribosomal RNA", at positions 8 to 213 of the family's 1533-position model. The record is from RNAcentral.